RNAcentral lists this ribosomal RNA (464 nucleotides) under Vreelandella stevensii. RNAcentral describes it as "partial 16S ribosomal RNA". It matches the Rfam family "Bacterial small subunit ribosomal RNA", at positions 338 to 795 of the family's 1533-position model. The record is from RNAcentral. Lineage: Bacteria; Pseudomonadati; Pseudomonadota; Gammaproteobacteria; Oceanospirillales; Halomonadaceae.
CCUACGGGUGGCUGCAGUGGGGAAUAUUGGACAAUGGGCGAAAGCCUGAUCCAGCCAUGCCGCGUGUGUGAAGAAGGCCUUCGGGUCGUAAAGCACUUUCAGUGGGGAAGAAAGCCUUGGGGCUAAUACCCUCGAGGAAGGACAUCACCCACAGAAGAAGCACCGGCUAACUCCGUGCCAGCAGCCGCGGUAAUACGGAGGGUGCGAGCGUUAAUCGGAAUUACUGGGCGUAAAGCGCGCGUAGGCGGUCUGAUAAGCCGGUUGUGAAAGCCCCGGGCUCAACCUGGGAACGGCAUCCGGAACUGUCAGGCUAGAGUGAAGGAGAGGAAGGUAGAAUUCCCGGUGUAGCGGUGAAAUGCGCAGAGAUCGGGAGGAAUACCAGUGGCGAAGGCGGCCUUCUGGACUGACACUGACGCUGAGGUGCGAAAGCGUGGGUAGCAAACAGGAUUAGAUACCCUAGAGUC